This 63-nucleotide microRNA precursor is filed under the name Alligator mississippiensis (American alligator). Its description in RNAcentral is "Ami-Mir-27-P2_pre stem-loop". It matches the Rfam family "mir-27 microRNA precursor family", at positions 10 to 80 of the family's 80-position model. Lineage: Eukaryota; Metazoa; Chordata; Crocodylia; Alligatoridae. The record is from RNAcentral.
AGAGCUUAGCUGAUUGGUGAACAGUGAUUGAUUUCCCCUUUGUUCACAGUGGCUAAGUUCUGC